Molecule: non-coding RNA, 222 nt
Organism: Schizosaccharomyces pombe (fission yeast)
Lineage: Eukaryota; Fungi; Ascomycota; Schizosaccharomycetes; Schizosaccharomycetales; Schizosaccharomycetaceae
Source: the annotation of a GenBank genome assembly
UUUCGAACGAGUCUUUUCCUAAUUCACCAAAGACGGUGACGCCUAUCCAAUCAUUGUUUUUACAAACUUGGGAAAGGGACUGAAAUUUCGGAACGAGGUUGAGCACAUCUGUAGCGUUUGGAAGUUGAAUUACAAGCCACUUUGGUCCAUCAUCUAUUAACACAGGAGGAGAAACUUGAGAACUAUAAUUCAGAGGAAUACCCAAUGCAUUUUCUACUUCUG